Molecule: ribosomal RNA, 750 nt
Filed under: Salmonella enterica
Lineage: Bacteria; Pseudomonadati; Pseudomonadota; Gammaproteobacteria; Enterobacterales; Enterobacteriaceae
Also listed under: 1 other name
Description: partial 23S ribosomal RNA
Rfam family: Bacterial large subunit ribosomal RNA
Source: RNAcentral
CUCGUGAAUUCAUCUCCGGGGGUAGAGCACUGUUUCGGCUAGGGGGCCAUCCCGGCUUACCAACCCGAUGCAAACUGCGAAUACCGGAGAAUGUUAUCACGGGAGACACACGGCGGGUGCUAACGUCCGUCGUGAAGAGGGAAACAACCCAGACCGCCAGCUAAGGUCCCAAAGUCAUGGUUAAGUGGGAAACGAUGUGGGAAGGCCCAGACAGCCAGGAUGUUGGCUUAGAAGCAGCCAUCAUUUAAAGAAAGCGUAAUAGCUCACUGGUCGAGUCGGCCUGCGCGGAAGAUGUAACGGGGCUAAACCAUGCACCGAAGCUGCGGCAGCGAACGUAUCACCCAAGACAACUUUACGGAGUUGACGAUUGACGGAGCGAAGCGACGUCAAAGCGUUCAUUAAAGUCGAGUUGGCUUAGGGAUACGUUCGUUGGGUAGGGGAGCGUUCUGUAAGCCUGUGAAGGUGUGUCGUGAGGCAUGCUGGAGGUAUCAGAAGUGCGAAUGCUGACAUAAGUAACGAUAAAGCGGGUGAAAAGCCCGCUCGCCGGAAGACCAAGGGUUCCUGUCCAACGUUAAUCGGGGCAGGGUGAGUCGACCCCUAAGGCGAGGCCGAAAGGCGUAGUCGAUGGGAAACGGGUUAAUAUUCCCGUACUUGGUGUUACUGCGAAGGGGGGACGGAGAAGGCUAUGUUGGCCGGGCGACGGUUGUCCCGGUUUAAGCGUGUAGGUGUGUGUUCCAGGUAAAUCCGGUU